AGUCGAAGUUGGCCCCCGAAGCUCUUCCGUCUCCCCCCCGGGCCUCCCGGGGAGGUUGCGGGCGGCGAGGGGUGCCUCCGGCCGCACGCCCAUUCUUGUCUACUGACCCGGUUGCCUCGGCGGGCCGCGCCUGCUGUGCUACAGCGGCCGUUCGGGGGGGACGCCUGAGGGGGACUCUUGUUUCCUAGGCCACGCCCCGGGCAGCGCUCGCCGGAGGAUUACUCUGGAAAACACACUCUUGAAAGAACAUACCGUCUGAGCGAGCAACGCAAAUCAGUUAAAACUUUCAACAACGGAUCUCUUGGUUCCGGCAUCGAUGAAGAACGCAGCGAAAUGCGAUAAGUAAUGUGAAUUGCAGAAUUCCGUGAAUCAUCGAAUCUUUGAACGCACAUUGCGCCCCCUGGCAUUCCGGGGGGCAUGCCUGUUCGAGCGUCAUUUCAACCCCCUCAAGCCCGGCUUGUGUGAUGGACGACCGUCCCCCCUCCCCAACAACACCCACCGCUUAGGGGGGUGGGAGGGAGGGGGAC
This 527-nucleotide unclassified non-coding RNA is filed under the name Microsporum ferrugineum. RNAcentral describes it as "partial contains ITS1, 5.8S rRNA and ITS2". The stretch from base 282 to 435 matches the Rfam family "5.8S ribosomal RNA". Lineage: Eukaryota; Fungi; Ascomycota; Eurotiomycetes; Onygenales; Arthrodermataceae. The record is from RNAcentral.